GAUGAACGCUGACAGAAUGCUUAACACAUGCAAGUCAACUUGAAUUUGGGUUUUUAACUUAGAUUUGGGUGGCGGACGGGUGAGUAACGCGUAAAGAACUUGCCUCACAGCUAGGGACAACAUUUAGAAAUGAAUGCUAAUACCUGAUAUUAUGAUUUUAAGGCAUCUUAGAAUUAUGAAAGCUAUAAGCACUGUGAGAGAGCUUUGCGUCCCAUUAGCUAGUUGGAGAGGUAACAGCUCACCAAGGCGA
This 250-nucleotide ribosomal RNA is filed under the name uncultured bacterium. RNAcentral describes it as "partial 16S ribosomal RNA". It matches the Rfam family "Bacterial small subunit ribosomal RNA", at positions 28 to 276 of the family's 1533-position model. The record is from RNAcentral.